UUAUUGGAGAGUUUGAUCCUGGCUCAGGACGAACGCUGGCGGCGUGCCUAAUACAUGCAAGUCGAGCGGAGUUAAU
RNAcentral lists this ribosomal RNA (76 nucleotides) under Paenibacillus sp. RNAcentral's name for it is "partial 16S ribosomal RNA". It matches the Rfam family "Bacterial small subunit ribosomal RNA", at positions 1 to 76 of the family's 1533-position model. Lineage: Bacteria; Bacillati; Bacillota; Bacilli; Caryophanales; Paenibacillaceae. The record is from RNAcentral.